CCUACGGGUGGCAGCAGUAGGGAAUAUUGCUCAAUGGGGGAAACCCUGAAGCAGCACCGCCGCGUGGAGGAUGAAGGUUUUCGGAUUGUAAACUCCUUUUGUUAGAGAAGAUAAUGACGGUAUCUAACGAAUAAGCACCGGCUAACUCCGUGCCAGCAGCCGCGGUAAUACGGAGGGUGCAAGCGUUACUCGGAAUCACUGGGCGUAAAGAGCGCGUAGGCGGGAUAGCAAGUCAGAUGUGAAAUCCUAGGGCUUAACCAUAGAACUGCAUUUGAAACUGUGAUUCUAGAGUGUAGGAGAGGUAGGUGGAAGUCUUGGUGUAGGGGUGAAAUCCGUAGAGAUCAAGAGGAAUACUCAUUGCGAAGGCGACCUGCUAGAACAUAACUGACGCUGAUGCGCGAAAGCGUGGGGAGCAAACAGGAUUAGAUACCCCUGUAGUC
RNAcentral lists this ribosomal RNA (440 nucleotides) under uncultured bacterium. Its description in RNAcentral is "partial 16S ribosomal RNA". It matches the Rfam family "Bacterial small subunit ribosomal RNA", at positions 338 to 795 of the family's 1533-position model. The record is from RNAcentral.